GAUGAACGCUGGCGGCGUGCCUAACACAUGCAAGUCGAACGGGGAGUGCAGCAAUGUACUCUUAGUGGCGGACGGGUGAGUAACACGUAGGUGACCUGCCCCGAAGCGGGGGAUAACUGCGGGAAACUGCAGCUAAUACCGCAUAAUUUGCUUUGAGCGGGAGCGAAGAGCAAGAAAACUAUGGUGCUUUGGGAGGGGCCUGCGGUCGAUUAGCUAGUUGGCGGGGUAAAGCCCACAAGGCGAUGAUCGAUAGCUGUUUUGAGAGGAAGACCAGCCACACGGGAACUGAGACACGGUCCCGACUCCUACGGGGGGCAGCAGUGAGGAAUAUUGCACAAUGGGGGAAACCCUGAUGCAGCAACGCCGCGUGAAGGAUGAAGGUCUUC
Molecule: ribosomal RNA, 386 nt
Filed under: uncultured Chloroflexota bacterium
Lineage: Bacteria; Bacillati; Chloroflexota
Description: bacterial SSU rRNA
Rfam family: Bacterial small subunit ribosomal RNA
Source: RNAcentral